RNAcentral lists this small nucleolar RNA (198 nucleotides) under Cervus elaphus hippelaphus. It matches the Rfam family "Small nucleolar RNA SNORA73 family". Rfam says of the family: U17 (SNORA73A and SNORA73B) also known as E1 belongs to the H/ACA class of small nucleolar RNAs (snoRNAs). Vertebrate U17 is intron-encoded and ranges in length from 200-230 nucleotides, longer than most snoRNAs. The record is from RNAcentral. Lineage: Eukaryota; Metazoa; Chordata; Mammalia; Artiodactyla; Cervidae.
UCCAGCAUGGAUACCCCAGGAGGUCACUCUCCCCAGGCUCUAAGUGGAGUACAGGAGCACAGGGCCCUGCCCUGUGAUGUGCAGUCCCUUCCCACAGUGUUGGAGGUGAAGCCGGGCAUUGUAUCUGCACCUGCAUAUUCCUACAGCUUCUCUGAGUCCUAUGGGCAAUGACUGAGAAGACAAACCAUUCAGGAAACA